GAUGAACGCUGGCGGCGUGCCUAAUACAUGCAAGUAGAACGCUGAAGGAAGGAGCUUGCUCUUUCCGGAUGAGUUGCGAACGGGUGAGUAACGCGUAGGUAACCUGCCUGGUAGCGGGGGAUAACUAUUGGAAACGAUAGCUAAUACCGCAUAACAGUAGAUAUUGCAUGAUAUCUGCUUGAAAGGGGCAAUUGCUCCACUACCAGAUGGACCUGCGUUGUAUUAGCUAGUUGGUGAGGUAACGGCUCACCAAGGCGACGAUACAUAGCCGACCUGAGAGGGUGAUCGGCCACACUGGGACUGAGACACGGCCCAGACUCCUACGGGAGGCAGCAGUAGGGAAUCUUCGGCAAUGGACGGAAGUCUGACCGAGCAACGCCGCGUGAGUGAAGAAGGUUUUCGGAUCGUAAAGCUCUGUUGUAAGAGAAGAACGAGUGUGAGAGUGGAAAGUUCACACUGUGACGGUAUCUUACCAGAAAGGGACGGCUAACUACGUGCCAGCAGCCGCGGUAAUACGUAGGUCCCGAGCGUUAUCCGGAUUUAUUGGGCGUAAAGCGAGCGCAGGCGGUUAGAUAAGUCUGAAGUUAAAGGCUGUGGCUUAACCGUAGUACGCUUUGGAAACUGUUUAACUUGAGUGCAAGAGGGGAGAGUGGAAUUCCAUGUGUAGCGGUGAAAUGCGUAGAUAUAUGGAGGAACACCGGUGGCGAAAGCGGCUCUCUGGCUUGUAACUGACGCUGAGGCUCGAAAGCGUGGGGAGCAAACAGG
Molecule: ribosomal RNA, 765 nt
Filed under: uncultured Streptococcus sp.
Lineage: Bacteria; Bacillati; Bacillota; Bacilli; Lactobacillales; Streptococcaceae
Description: bacterial SSU rRNA
Rfam family: Bacterial small subunit ribosomal RNA
Source: RNAcentral